Molecule: ribosomal RNA, 253 nt
Filed under: uncultured bacterium
Lineage: Bacteria
Also listed under: 1 other name
Description: partial 16S ribosomal RNA
Rfam family: Bacterial small subunit ribosomal RNA
Source: RNAcentral
CACGUAGGAGGCAAGCGUUAUCCGGAUUUACUGGGCGUAAAGCGCGUGUAGGCGGCUCGGAUAGUUGGAUGUGAAAGCUCCUGGCUUAACUGGGAGAGGUCGUUCAAUACUUCCGGGCUCGAGAGUGGUAGAGGGAGGUGGAAUUCCGAGUGUAGUGGUGAAAUGCGUAGAUAUUCGGAGGAACACCAGUGGCGAAAGCGGCCUCCUGGACCAUUUCUGACGCUCAGACGCGAAAGCUAGGGUAGCAAACGGG